This 434-nucleotide ribosomal RNA is filed under the name uncultured bacterium. Its description in RNAcentral is "partial 16S ribosomal RNA". It matches the Rfam family "Bacterial small subunit ribosomal RNA", at positions 341 to 792 of the family's 1533-position model. The record is from RNAcentral.
ACGGAAGGCAGCAGUGGGGGAUAUUGCACAAUGGGGGAAACCCUGAUGCAGCGACGCCGCGUGAGUGAUGAAGUAUUUCGGUAUGUAAGGCUCUAUCAGCAGGGAAGAUAAUGACGGUACCUGACUAAGAAGCACCGGCUAAAUACGUGCCAGCAGCCGCGGUAAUACGUAUGGUGCAAGCGUUAUCCGGAUUUACUGGGUGUAAAGGGAGCGUAGACGGCAAGGCAAGCCAGAUGUGAAAGGCUGGGGCUCAACCCCGGGACUGCAUUUGGAACUGUCUAGCUAGAGUAUCGGAGAGGUAAGUGGAAUUCCUAGUGUAGCGGUGAAAUGCGUAGAUAUUAGGAGGAACACCAGUGGCGAAGGCGGCUUGCUGGACGAUAACUGACGUUGAGGCUCGAAAGCGUGGGGAGCAAACAGGAUUAGAUACCCUGGUA